Molecule: ribosomal RNA, 690 nt
Filed under: uncultured Candidatus Tremblayella sp.
Lineage: Bacteria; Pseudomonadati; Pseudomonadota; Betaproteobacteria
Description: bacterial SSU rRNA
Rfam family: Bacterial small subunit ribosomal RNA
Source: RNAcentral
AGUAGCGGUGAAAUGCGUAGAUAUCUGGAGGAAUACCAAAGGCGAAGGCAGUCCCCUGGUACGAUACUGACACUGAGGUACGAAAGCGUGGGGAGCAAACAGGAUUAGAUACCCUGGUAGUCCACGCCCUAAACGAUGUCGAUUAGCCAUUGGAAGGACCCCUUUUCCUUUCAGUGACGUAGCUAACGCGUUAAAUCGACCGCCUGGGAAGUACGACCGCAAGGUUAAAACUCAAAGGAAUUGACGGGGACCUGAACAAGCGGUGAAUGAUGUGGAUUAAUUCGAUGCUACGCGAAGAACCUUACCUACCUUUGACAUGGCCAAAGUUCUACCGAGAGGCGGAAGUACUCGUAAGAGGAUUGGCGCACAGGUGCUGCAUGGUUGUCGUCAGUUCGUGUCGUGAGAUGUUGGGUUCAGUCCCGCAACGAACGCAACCCUUAUCUUUAAUUGCUCCUAUUUUAACAGGCACUUUAAAGAAACUGCCAAUGAUAAGUUGGAGGAAGGUGGGGAUCACGUCAAGUCCGCAUGGCCUUUAUAGGUAGGGCUUCACACGUCAUACAAUGGUUAGAACAAAGAGCUGCAAAUUCGUAAGAAGGAGCCAAUCUCACAAACCUAACCUCAGUUCGAAUUGCGGUCUGCAACUCGAGCGCAUGAAGCCGGAAUCGCUAGUAAUCGUGGAUCAGAAUGCCA